UGGGGCCUGGGAGGCUGGCCUGAGGUCUGGCGGAGUGGGGUGACUGGGGCUGGCUGUGGCCAGGCAUUUUUGAGUCGAGAAUGGGAGAUCCAGGGCCCAAGCGGUAAGGGCUCAAAUAGGAGUCUCUUGAGGGGAGGCUCAGAGACUUGCUCCCCGGUUGUCCCAUCCCCACUUUCCUCCCUUCUCUGCUCUGUCAUGGCUCUUCCCUAUGUUGGCAUCUGACCUCGAGCCCCUACCCGUGCCUCUCACCAGCUGGUACCACCCUCUCUUCUGUGGCCCCGCGCUCAGUCUUCCGCCCCUGCUUUAUGCCUACCGAAGGAGGACACGGAACCCAUCUGCCUACAUCCCCCUUCCUUAGACCAAGCCUUAGCCCAUUGCGCAUGGGGAAACCCAGCCCAGGGCAGGAGGGGUCUGUGAGUGGCUGGGGCGGUGGGUGGACUGGAGAACUUUGAUGAUAUCUUCAUCUUCUCUUCCUGGAACCCCUCCUCUUCCCACCAUGCCCAGCUGUCCAGACCCUGGUGGCCCCUGGUACAAGGCUAGGAGGCCUCAGGGAAGGGGAGGGAACUGUCCCCUCCCAUGACAAACAAAAGCCCUUCUUUUGCUGUGUGUGUCUGUGUGUGUGUGUGGGGGGGGGGGGUUGGAAGAAGAAGGGGCUUUCCAGGGAAGGGCACAUAUGUCUCUGGGGACAAGGGGACCAUGCUGGAAAGGGGCAUAUUCACCUACAGCCCCAGGGCCCUGCACUUCUGCAGGACCCCCCGCUACCAAGGGCCCCAGCCAGCCCCCACCCUGCCCACGGAGGGCUUAGCUCACCCUCGAGUGGCACAGGAAUCCCAGGUACACGAUGGCAGCUGCUGGCAGAAGGGCCAGCAGGAACACGGUUGCAGGCAGCAGCAGGUGCAGCAGCAGUCCAGCCAGGGCCUGGCCAGGCAGCAGUAGGGUCCCAAGGCCUCGGACCACCAGGCCUACCCACCGUGGGGACAUCAAGACUGAGGCCUGGCCGUCAGGAACCCUUUCCGGCAGCAUGGGGGCUGUGUCCGAAGUGCUGCCUCCCUCAUCCUCCUCCAUUUCCUUCUCCUGUUCACUCAUGCUCUCGCAGGCAACAGGCCUGGUGUGUUCACGGAGGUAGUCAGACGGCAGGACUGAGGCCCCCAGCAUCAGCCCUAAGUCCCCAGGUCAGACUCCCACCCAGACACCAGCAACCAUAGCGGACCCAGCUGGAGGACAGCACCCCGGUCCAGGUAGGUCCAGCCCUGACCAUCAGUCUCCAAGGCCACACCCCUGCCUCAGUUUUCCCCAAUGCCAGGCUGGGCCUCUCUCUACCAGGCGACUACAGCUCCGGCUCUGGUCAGUGUCCCCAGCCAGCUCCUGUGUGUUCUGGGCAGGGCUUGCACAGCUGUCCUGGCACUGGGGCCCUCCUCCCUCCUGGUCCCGCCCUCUCCCUGCUUGGAGCUAUCCCCGCCCCCCCCCCCCCCCAGAUUUCAGUUCAUAGGUCUUGACUCUGACAACUGCCCCAUCAGUUACUGCUGUGUACAGGUGGCCACCCACACCGCUUCCCAGCCUUAGUCCCUGCUGGUUGUCCUCAUUGCCAAAUGAGGUUGGCCUCUCUCAGCCUCAGGAAAACAGGGAAAACACUGGGUGCCCACACCACAGGGCUGUGGAGGAGGCAUGUGGGCAAUGCAUGUAAAAAGGCGCUUGGUGUAGGACUCAGAACACAGUAGGUGCUCAAUAACAGCAUCCUUUGCGUUGGAGUCUCAUCCAUCCUGAAAACAGUGGGAGCACAUAUUCUGUUAUUUCAAUUGGGGGGAAGUAUUCCCAGCUCCUCCGUAAACCCCAACUAAUUUCCCCAAGUAUUAUUGAAAUGCUCUUAACUCCUAGCAGAGCAUUCAGCAUAUUAAACCCCACUUAUGUAACUAGCUGAUGUCUAACUGACGAGUAGGUUACCUGUGAGCCCAACGAACAAGGUGUGCAGCCUCAGACGCGAACAUUUCCCUUUCACACCUUCUCCCACCGUUGGCUUCAUCACGUCCAACGUUUCUUCUAACAUUUUCCAGCGCAUACACUCCCUUCGGACACAUGCGGACAGGGGAAGACGGCAGCGAUUGGGCACCGCAGGUUUAAGGAAUGCAAGCCUGAGACAUGUCCCUGUGAGAAGGCUGCUUGAGGUUCCCUGCAGCGCGUGCCAAGCCCUGUUGCCCAACACGCAUGCGAUUUCGUUGUUUUCACUGGCACACACAGACCAAAACCUUACAGUAGCUGUUUUUUUAUUCAGAUAAUGAAUUUAGGGUAAAAAAUGUUGCAAGUGAUAAUGUUCAGAUGCAGAGUUCGGGUGGAGAGGGUACCUGCCUAAUCUCUUAAGCUCCGUCCUUUGCUCGGGUCCCUCUUGCAGUCAUUCGUUCACGCAGUAAAAACUCAACACUGGCUGAGCUCCCUCAGUGUACCAGGACUGCCCUAGGCUCUGCCGACGCGAUGGUAAAGGCCAAUGUGGGCCUCUGCUCUGUAGGGACGGCUCUGUGUGGGGCCCUGACGAGCCUGCACGAGUUCACAGCUGAAUGAGCUGCAGUGCUCCGGACGGACCGGACGGUGGCAGAAGCCGGGAGGACCAGCCUCGCCGCUGGCUCCCACUGACUCCUGCCUUUGGGAAGGCAGUUUCUAGGCUCAUCUGGCUCUCAGGAGGUGGUAAACUGUCCUCAUCCACCCGGAGCAUGUUGCUUCCUUACUGGCUGAAUCUGUCAGCCUGUGUGAUGUGCCCAAACGGAGACUUCAUUCUAGAAGAGGAAGGAAAACAUUUAAAAUGAAGUUAACACCUAUUUUUGUGGAGCGGUGGCCUCGGACAGGGAUCGGGGAUGGUAAG
Molecule: long non-coding RNA, 2851 nt
Organism: Prionailurus viverrinus (fishing cat)
Lineage: Eukaryota; Metazoa; Chordata; Mammalia; Carnivora; Felidae
Exons: 3
Source: RefSeq, a predicted model, not a curated record